CCCGCGAGGGAACGGGUGGAUUUAUUAGAACAGAACCAACCGGUUGUGGUUCGCGCCACUUCCGUUGCACUCUGUGAUGACUCUGGAUAACUUCACUGAUCGCAGUCGGCCUUGUGUCGGCGACGGAUCUUUCAAAUGUCUGCCCUAUCAAUUUUCGAUGGUAGGUGACCUGCCUACCAUGGUGAUAACGGGUAACGGGGAAUCAGGGUUCGAUUCCGGAGAGGGAGCCUGAGAAACGGCUACCACUUCCAAGGAAGGCAGCAGGCGCGCAAACUACCCAAUCCCGGCACGGGGAGGUGGUGACGAAAAAUACGGAUACGGGACUCAUCAGAGGCUCCGUAAUUCGAAUGAGUACACUUUAAAUCCUUUAACGAGGAUCAACUGGAGGGCAAGUCUGGUGCCAGCAGCCGCGGUAACUCCAGCUCCAGAAGCGUAUAUUAAAGUUGUUGCAGUUAAAAAGCUCGUAGUUGGAUCUGGGUCGCAUGGCUACAUGCUGCGCUCGUAUUUCUAAUCUGGUUACGACCGGAACGGAUUUGUGAGUCAGUGUCGUGGUUGUGCAGCCUUUUUGCCGUGUCUGGUUUACAGGUGCUGGCUAUCGGUGGGCUCGUCCCAUCGUUUAGUUGGCAUGCUUCUCGAUGCCUUUCAACGGGUGUCGGAUGCGGACGGCACGUUUACUUUGAACAAAUUUGAGUGCUCAGAGCAGGCCAUUGAGCCUGAAAAUUCUUGCAUGGAAUAAUGAAAUAGGACUUCGGUUCUAUUUUGUUGGUUUUCGGAUCCGAAGUAAUGGUUAAGAGGGACAGACGGGGGCAUUUGUAUGGCGGUGUUAGAGGUGAAAUUCUUGGAUCGCCGCCAGACAAACUACAGCGAAAGC
This 871-nucleotide ribosomal RNA is filed under the name Corrigia vitta. RNAcentral's name for it is "SSU rRNA". It matches the Rfam family "Eukaryotic small subunit ribosomal RNA", at positions 186 to 952 of the family's 1831-position model. The record is from RNAcentral. Lineage: Eukaryota; Metazoa; Platyhelminthes; Trematoda; Plagiorchiida; Dicrocoeliidae.